Molecule: ribosomal RNA, 447 nt
Filed under: uncultured bacterium
Lineage: Bacteria
Description: partial 16S ribosomal RNA
Rfam family: Bacterial small subunit ribosomal RNA
Source: RNAcentral
AGCGAACGCUGGCGGCAGGCUUAACACAUGCAAGUCGAACGGUCCUUCGGGAUAGUGGCGGACGGGUGAGUAACACGUGGGAACGUACCCUUAGGUUCGGAACAACACAGGGAAACUUGUGCUAAUACCGGAUAAGCCCUUCGGGGGAAAGAUUUAUCGCCUUUGGAGCGGCCCGCGUCUGAUUAGCUUGUUGGGGAGGUAAUGGCUCACCAAGGCUACGAUCAGUAGAUGGUCUGAGAGGAUGGCCAGCCACUCUGGGACUGAGACACGGCCCAGACUCCUACGGGAGGCAGCAGUAGGGAAUCUUGCGCAAUGGGCGGAAGCCUGACGCAGCCAUGCCGCGUGGAUGAUGAAGGUCUUAGGAUUGUAAAAUCCUUUCACCGGGGACGAUAAUGACGGUACCCUGAGAAGAAGCCCCGGCUAACUUCGUGCCAGCAGCCGCGGUAA